Long non-coding RNA from Sinocyclocheilus grahami, 208 nucleotides. NCBI's taxonomy places the organism in Eukaryota, Metazoa, Chordata, Actinopteri, Cypriniformes, Cyprinidae. The record is from Ensembl.
AGACAUACAAAAUGUCCAGUGUUGGGGUCGCCCGGGACCAGGGUUGAGAAACACUGCUCUAAUACUAAAAUGGUGGUGCCUCAUUCUCUUGGAAAAUUUUGCUGUUGAAAGGAAACAUGUCCUCACUGCGUGCAAGUGCCGGAAGAGCAGGAGAUUGAAAUCUGCAGCAGGGUAUGUUUGUUAUAUCUCAAAUAGGGGCACUUGAGAA